Molecule: long non-coding RNA, 2143 nt
Organism: Corapipo altera (White-ruffed manakin)
Lineage: Eukaryota; Metazoa; Chordata; Aves; Passeriformes; Pipridae
Exons: 2
Source: RefSeq, a predicted model, not a curated record
GCUUCCUGGAGCUGUCACCAUUUCCCCACCCCCUGGUGACUUUCUCUUCGGGGAGUGGUUUCGACGAAGGGAGGGCGGGAGGUGCCCGCGGGCAGUGCGAGGGGUGCCCCGAACCCGGAACCCCCCGCCUCCCCGACGCUGAUCCCCUCUCCGAGGGAUGGGUCCUCCCCCGUGCGAGGGUCCCGCAAGCCCGGACCAAUGCCCGGCGAGUUUUGGGGUCCCACUUACUCCCUGGGAAGCGUUUCAGGGCACCUAAGCUGACCCUCCAACAUCUGAGAAAUAAAAAGAAAAAGAAACCUACUUCUCUCCACUGCUUUCAAAAAGUAGUUGAUGGGGUAUUUUCCACCAGCCAAAAACACCUGUUGUCAAGAGUCUGUUGAGGCCAGUGCCUGUGGAGCCUGAGCACCAGAUCACAAAAAUUAUUAUUUUUCUGAUGUAGCAAUGAAUGUUAUUAUAGCAUUUGUUAUGAAAAAUGUACCUUGUCUAUAAUUUGUAACGUAGCAACUAGGUAAAUGGAUUGAAAAAAUACAGUUGACUUAUCUGCUAUGAAGUGAUUUUUUUUUCUGUAUAAGAAAGAGCGGAUUAUGUGGUUAAUACUUGGGAUUACUCAGAAAAAAAAUUAAGCAUGAUUUCAAUAUCUCUUCUCAAGUCUGAAAUUAAGUCAAGAGCUAGAUGAUAAUCCAGCAUAGGCUACUUCAGACACCUCAUUUCCCCACAAACAUUUAUAUAAUCAGAAUCUGUUUUUAUUACUUAAUUUUUCCAACUCCAUCUAAAACUGAAAAUUGUCCCACCCAAAAAGAAUAAGAAGCAAUGACCACACACACAACUCCAUGUCAUUUACCACCAUGGGUAUUCAGUCUGCAGGUCCCAGAUAGAGCUUUCGGCCUUUGAUAUCCAAUUCUAGGAAGGCUUGGGAAGCCAAGCCUCAAACACUGCAAGGGGAAGCUGGAGUUACCUUCUGAUGCUUCUACCUCCAAAAGGGUCCAUAGUACUGUCAUAAAAUAUCCCAUAAUUAGAAUUUAGAGAUGGUGUGUCCUACUUAUUCACUGAUACAUAAUUAACUGAAACACAGAUUGACCGAUGUUAGUUCUAACACUUCUGAAAUUUUUCUCUUUUACUGCCAAGGCUUGUUCAUAACAGGAAUUGUAGUAACUAAUUCAGUAAAGUUCUUUAGAAGAGCCAGGAAAUAUACAAUAUCAGUAAAAGUCAUCUCUCACUAGAAGCACUAACAUGAAUGGGUGAAAUAUGUCAAAAGGUUUUGAUGGCAAACUUCUUUCUGUUUUCCACAAGACACACAGGAUCAAUCCACACAUUUGCUAGACUUAACCUCUGAUCAUGUUAAAAGAAACCAGAAUGCAAUUUGGGUGUCUGCUCUUGUUAACAGGGGUUUAUGGAAAACAAAUUGGACAUGACUUCCUGUUCCCUGAGACCUUUCACUGACAAGAACUUGAUCUGUGGAAUUACAUUGCAUGGUGAAUGCAACACACUUAAUAUAAUGGGAUCAGCCAAUCUCUGGUCAUGGCAACAUUAUAAACCAUUCCAUGUAACUGUUCAAAAGUCACUCUCUUGCUAGUCUCAUUUUUAUGCUUAAAACCAAUAAAAAAUAAUAUUCUUCAUAUAUUCUUAAGUGACUAGAGAUUUACCUAACUUUUCGUUGCUAACAGAACAUAAAACACUUCAGACAUGUAAACAUAAAUAAAUUGUCAUAAGGAAUUCAAAUGAGCUGUUACUAUUGAUUUCCCAUUUAUUGCUGUCCACAAGUGAACACUUUUCCUGCUUUACUUAGAAGCAAAUUCCAGUAAUACCGGAAUUAUUUUCUUCUAAAGUGAUUUGUGAACACUGAACCAUGAUGACGAAUCUAAUUUAAAAAUUUAAUUAAUAACAUAGGUAUCCAAACAUACAUCUGUAAAAUCACUUAAUAAUUGCAAUGUAUCAACCAGCAAUUGCAUUUCUAAGCUGUUCAAGGGAUCUCUUCAUGUGUGCCAGUGUUCAGUAUAGUAGUAAAAUUGUCAUGAAAGGUUUCAUGAUCAUGUUGGAGACAGUCUACUAGAAAUAUAAAAUUAAUAACACAGUAUUAUUAUUUCAUCACUUUAUUCCAGAAAGUAUUAAAACAUAAAUGUAUAAACUGUGAGAAUUAAAAAAA